AGAGUUUGAUCCUGGCUCAGAUUGAACGCUGGCGGCAGGCCUAACACAUGCAAGUCGAACGGUAACAGGAAGCAGCUUGCUGCUUCGCUGACGAGUGGCGGACGGGUGAGUAAUGUCUGGGAAACUGCCUGAUGGAGGGGGAUAACUACUGGAAACGGUAGCUAAUACCGCAUAACGUCGCAAGACCAAAGAGGGGGACCUUCGGGCCUCUUGCCAUCGGAUGUGCCCAGAUGGGAUUAGCUAGUAGGUGGGGUAACGGCUCACCUAGGCGACGAUCCCUAGCUGGUCUGAGAGGAUGACCAGCCACACUGGAACUGAGACACGGUCCAGACUCCUACGGGAGGCAGCAGUGGGGAAUAUUGCACAAUGGGCGCAAGCCUGAUGCAGCCAUGCCGCGUGUGUGAAGAAGGCCUUCGGGUUGUAAAGCACUUUCAGCGAGGAGGAAGGUGGUGAGCUUAAUACGUUCAUCAAUUGACGUUACUCGCAGAAGAAGCACCGGCUAACUCCGUGCCAGCAGCCGCGGUAAUACGGAGGGUGCAAGCGUUAAUCGGAAUUACUGGGCGUAAAGCGCACGCAGGCGGUUUGUUAAGUCAGAUGUGAAAUCCCCGGGCUCAACCUGGGAACUGCAUUUGAAACUGGCAAGCUAGAGUCUUGUAGAGGGGGGUAGAAUUCCAGGUGUAGCGGUGAAAUGCGUAGAGAUCUGGAGGAAUACCGGUGGCGAAGGCGGCCCCCUGGACAAAGACUGACGCUCAGGUGCGAAAGCGUGGGGAGCAAACAGGAUUAGAUACCCUGGUAGUCCACGCCGUAAACGAUGUCGAUUUGGAGGUUGUGCCCUUGAGGCGUGGCUUCCGGAGCUAACGCGUUAAAUCGACCGCCUGGGGAGUACGGCCGCAAGGUUAAAACUCAAAUGAAUUGACGGGGGCCCGCACAAGCGGUGGAGCAUGUGGUUUAAUUCGAUGCAACGCGAAGAACCUUACCUGGUCUUGACAUCCACGGAACUUUCCAGAGAUGGAUUGGUGCCUUCGGGAACUGUGAGACAGGUGCUGCAUGGCUGUCGUCAGCUCGUGUUGUGAAAUGUUGGGUUAAGUCCCGCAACGAGCGCAACCCUUAUCCUUUGUUGCCAGCGGUCCGGCCGGGAACUCAAAGGAGACUGCCAGUGAUAAACUGGAGGAAGGUGGGGUUGACGUCAAGUCAUCAUGGCCCUUACGACCAGGGCUACACACGUGCUACAAUGGCGCAUACAAAGAGAAGCGACCUCGCGAGAGCAAGCGGACCUCAUAAAGUGCGUCGUAGUCCGGAUUGGAGUCUGCAACUCGACUCCAUGAAGUCGGAAUCGCUAGUAAUCGUGGAUCAGAAUGCCACGGUGAAUACGUUCCCGGGCCUUGUACACACCGCCCGUCACACCAUGGGAGUGGGUUGCAAAAGAAGUAGGUAGCUUAACCUUCGGGAGGGCGCUUACCACUUUGUGAUUCAUGACUGGGGUGAAGUCGUAACAAGGUAACC
This 1503-nucleotide ribosomal RNA is filed under the name Escherichia sp. mixed culture J1-17. RNAcentral's name for it is "bacterial SSU rRNA". It matches the Rfam family "Bacterial small subunit ribosomal RNA". The record is from RNAcentral. Lineage: Bacteria; Pseudomonadati; Pseudomonadota; Gammaproteobacteria; Enterobacterales; Enterobacteriaceae.